Molecule: ribosomal RNA, 254 nt
Filed under: uncultured bacterium
Lineage: Bacteria
Description: partial 16S ribosomal RNA
Rfam family: Bacterial small subunit ribosomal RNA
Source: RNAcentral
UACGGGGGGAGCAAGCGUUGUUCGGAUUUACUGGGCGUAAAGGGCGCGUAGGCGGUCGUGACAAGUCACUUGUGAAAUCUCCGGGCUUAACUCGGAACGGUCAAGUGAUACUGUCGGACUAGAGUACAGAAGGGGCAACUGGAAUUCUCGGUGUAGCGGUGAAAUGCGUAGAUAUCGAGAGGAACACCUGCGGCGAAGGCGGGUUGCUGGGCUGAUACUGACGCUGAGAUGCGAAAGCGUGGGGAGCAAGCAGG